Molecule: long non-coding RNA, 692 nt
Organism: Lathyrus oleraceus (garden pea)
Lineage: Eukaryota; Viridiplantae; Streptophyta; Magnoliopsida; Fabales; Fabaceae
Exons: 2
Source: RefSeq, a predicted model, not a curated record
CUUAAACAUACACACACUCUUAUGUAAUCAACACACAAGUUAUUUAUUACUUAUGAAUUCAGAGUCCUAUGUUGCUUCUUAUAGAUACCUUCCUCCAAGUCAUUAUGAAAGAAAACAACAUCCAAUCUAAAUUACUCAAUCUAUAUGUUCAAGCUUUAUUCCAAUUAGAAACUCUCUUUAAAGAUAUUACCCUUUUUCUCUGAUUAAAUUCUUUAACCACCAAUAUUGUCUUACAACUUAUAUGAGAUUUAUUCUCUUCAUAUUUUAUCUUGCUUAUUCAUUUGUUCUUGAGUGGGUUUUUUUCUUAGACAAUUUCACCAUCUUAAUGUGCGAUUCUCAUGCAAGUUUGUUGUAGGCAUUUUCUAGAGAUGGAUUCAGACAAAAUGAAGACCUUUCAAAUAAGGGCACAAUUACCUGACAUGCAAAGUCUGAAGAUUCUCAAAGAAAGACUACCCGAUACCAUUCAAAGGAAGUUCUCCCUCCUAUAUGGAAAGAUUCUUGACCUCCUGAAACUCCCAGUGCAAGUAGAGGUCAUCACUUCCCUUGCUCAGUGAUAUCGUGUUGAAAGAGUUCAAGGCUCACCUGGAUGUAACCAUUAGGGCACAACUUUAGUUUCUCUUCAAAAGCUUUUAAAUUUUGUAUUAUUUCCCUUUAUCAAUAAAUGAAUAAGAAUUCUUUGUUCUUUGUGCCAA